Molecule: ribosomal RNA, 470 nt
Filed under: uncultured bacterium
Lineage: Bacteria
Description: partial 16S ribosomal RNA
Rfam family: Bacterial small subunit ribosomal RNA
Source: RNAcentral
GACGAACGCUGGCGGCGUGCUUAACACAUGCAAGUCGAACGCUGAAGCACCAGCUUGCUGGUGUGGAUGAGUGGCGAACGGGUGAGUAAUACGUGAGUAACCUGCCCUUGACUCUGGGAUAAGCCCGGGAAACUGGGUCUAAUACUGGAUGCUACAUGUCACCGCAUGGUGGUGUGUGGAAAGGGUUUACUGGUCUUGGAUGGGCUCACGGCCUAUCAGCUUGUUGGUGAGGUAAUGGCUCACCAAGGCGACGACGGGUAGCCGGCCUGAGAGGGUGACCGGCCACACUGGGACUGAGACACGGCCCAGACUCCUACGGGAGGCAGCAGUGGGGAAUAUUGCACAAUGGGCGAAAGCCUUAUGCAGCGACGCCGCGUGAGGGAUGACGGCCUUCGGGUUGUAAACCUCUUUCAGCAGGGAAGAAGCCACAAGUGACGGUACCUGCAGAAGAAGCGCCGGCUAACUACGUG